UAUUAUGUUGCCGUGGGCUCGAACUCUGCAAGAAGUUAAAAAAUUUUUUUGACUAAAACACAACUGGAACUCUAAGUAAGGCAUGUGUAAAAUUUGAAUGAAAUUGGUUGCGUAGUUCUCGAGUUUUAGGGAUACACACACACACACACACACAGACAGACAGACACACAUUCUCAUUUUUAUAUAUAUAGAUGGUGACAAUGAUCAUAACAAUGAUAAGGAUAAUGAUGAUGGUGGUGAUGAUGAUGAUGAUGAUGACAACAAUAAUGAUGAUGAUGACGACUGAUGAUGAUGAUGAUGAUGAUUAUGAUGGUGAUGACAAUGAUGAUGGUGAUGACAACGAUGAUGAUGAUGAUGAUGAAAGUGGCAAUGACGACUGAUGAUUAUGAUGAUGAGGAGGAGGAGGAGGAGGAGAGGGGCAAUGACGACUGAUGAUGAUUAUGGUGAUGAUGAUGAUGAUGACGAUGACGACGAUGAUGAUGAAAGUAGCAAUGACGAUGAUAAUUUGUUCCUACCAAGUAAAAGUUCACUUCACCUGUAUAACACACCAUUCAAGCUACAGAAGAAUUAACUGGUUGUCAGAACCAAGGCCUUACAAGAGAAGUCAUUCAAAUGCAUAUUGAGAACACCCUGAUGCACAGAGGUUGUUUACAACUUUAUGACCACAAAGAAAAUCAUGGCAGACUGUGAAGUGAAGAUCCUUACCCAAGGCCUUCAUCCCUUCAAAUUUUUUUCUUUGUAAACUUAUUUAUUGGCUUUAGUUUGUAUCAAACAAUAAAAUUUUUAUGCCAGAAACCUUA
This is a long non-coding RNA of Octopus bimaculoides (California two-spot octopus), 800 nucleotides long. The record is from RefSeq and is a predicted model, not a curated record. Lineage: Eukaryota; Metazoa; Mollusca; Cephalopoda; Octopoda; Octopodidae.